This 366-nucleotide small RNA is filed under the name Mycoplasmoides pneumoniae M129. Its description in RNAcentral is "Mycoplasma pneumoniae M129 ncRNA". Lineage: Bacteria; Bacillati; Mycoplasmatota; Mycoplasmoidales; Mycoplasmoidaceae. The record is from RNAcentral.
AAUUGGAAUUUGAUCGAGCUACUGCCAGCAUUGACUACUAAAAUUUUGUUGUCGUUCAUUUUUAUCUAAUAGGUAACAAUAAUAAAAUAUUAGUAAUAAGUCCUCAUUUUUUCUCUAAUAACUGUCAAUGAGUGCUAAAACUUCAUAUAUUGUGGCUGCUGUUUCGACAGCUGUAGGUAUUAUUCUCUACUUUAUCUCUUCCCUCAUGGGGGUAAUUGGUGUAAGUAAUGAUAAGACCUUAAUCAUUGUCUUUUUUGUACUAGCUUCAAUCAUCAUUAUUAACGCCUGUGUUUUUUGAAUUAUUUACCUGUUCAAAAAAAGAAACGUAGUCAAAUAAAAAAGUUUGGCGCUUUAAAUUCUCCUUAC